UUCAAGGUAUUUCAUGCCAUCUCAGUUCACUCUCUCAACAUAUACAUUUCACAUCCCAGUAGAGCAUACUUCAUAUAUUAGAAAUGCAGUAGAUAAUGAGCAUGACCACCUUCAUUAUUCACAUAGAAUAGAGUAAUACAGAUAGACAUAGCAAACCACAUUCGAGUAUAAGAUUUACGGCCCUCUUAUGGGCAAGAUUAAAACUUAGCUUCUAGAGGAGUGGGGCUACUGCCUUGCUCGGAGCCUGAGGACGACGCAGUAUCGAACCUUCCGGCACGGCGCCGGAGCUCAGGAAAACGAUAGAGGCGUCAAACUUUUCCCUGCUCGACAGAUACCGUACAACAGCAACGGCAGAGCUCGUAGGGGCUUCCUCAGGGAAGGAGGACGGGAGCUGACACCAGAGGGACGCAAAGACAGCGGCGUCGCUCGCGAAUCUCACUGCGGCGGCAGCGGAUCGAGACCUCGGUGCUUGACAGCAGGUUUCAGGCGAGAAGCUUGCCUUGUUGCUCCAGUUUUACUAAUUGAACGAGAGGAAGAGAUGUGAGCAGCAUGAGUUUUCUUGUGAGAAGAGAGAGAGAGAUUAUUGAAAGUGUGUGUGUGUUUGGAUGGAUCGGUGAGAGAGAGAGAGAUAUAUUUUAAAAAGUGUGUGUGCAUGUGGUGAUUGAAUAUAAGGAGAGAGAGGGAACCGAUAGUGGGAGAGAAAGAGGAAAUGUUGGCUUUAAUAAAGAUAAAAGAUAGAGAGAGAUUUGAUGAUAGAUAUAAAGUAUGUGUGUGCGUG
Molecule: long non-coding RNA, 778 nt
Filed under: Salvia miltiorrhiza (redroot sage)
Lineage: Eukaryota; Viridiplantae; Streptophyta; Magnoliopsida; Lamiales; Lamiaceae
Description: long non-coding RNA (SMIL_LNC013798)
Source: RNAcentral